GGGACAUGGGGGGUCCCUGUGGGGAGGGAAGGGGAUAUACGGAGUGGGAAGGAGAGAUGGGGGGCCUUGCGACAGAAGCAGGGGAGCGGUGACUGCAAGCUGCUGGGUGCAGGGGGGUGGGGCGGGCAGGAGCGGGAGGGAGGCCUUCCAAACCCGGAGGGGACUCGGCCCACAGGGACGACUGGAGUGAGGUUUACACCAGAGGGGCAACAGGGGCCGAGGGGUCCCUUCCUAAGGAGACCACUUGAGGGCUGCUGAACGCCGGAGCCUUACAACUGUUAAACUCAGGCAGAGCUCGGGAAAUGCUGCCCGGAUGGGUGACUGAUGGAGAGGGGCUACCACUCUUCCAGCUAAACUCUGCUCUGGUUGGGACCCAGCAAUUAUUUUCCAUAGCGAAGUGUUAAUAAAAUAUCUGUUACUCCCAACACAACCUCCUGGGGGAAGGGACCUGUCUGUCUGCUUCAACUUUGGAUCCUCAGUGCCCACAUCAGGAUACCUGGCCUGAGAGAGGGUCCUGCCGGAUACCCUGGAGGAAGGAAUGCUGCACAGAGGCCGAGAGGAAUUUGAACAGACUGGCCUUGCUGGGUUUUUAUCUCUUUUUGUCCAAUCCCAUUUUGACACAGUUGUCCAUGCUCCAAUCAUGCUUAUCCAAUGAAGUUUCCAUAACAGGCCUGAGAGGACAGGGUUCAGGAGCUUCCGGACAGCUGAGCAGGUGGAGGUUCCUGGAGGGUGGUGUGCCAGGGAGGGUGUGGAAGCUCUGCCCCUUCCCCCAUACCUUGUCCUAUGCAUUGCUUUAUCUGCAUCCUUCAUUUUAUUUUAUUUUUUUUGAGACGGAGUCUUGCUCUUGUCGUCCAGGCUGGAAUGCAGUGGUGCGCGAUCUUGGCGCACUGCAACCUCCGCCUCCCGAGUUCAAGAGAUUCUCUUGCCUGAGCCUCCCGAGUAGCUGGGAUUACAGGCACCCGCCACCAUCCCUGGCUAAUUUUUGUAUUUUUAGUAGAGAUGGGGUUUCACCAUGUUGGCCAGGUUAGUCUUGAACUCCUGACCUCAGGUGAUCCACCCACCUCAGCCUCCCAAAGCGCUGAGAUUACAGGCGUGAGCCACAGUGCCUGGCCUGUAUCCUUUAUAAUAUCGUUUAUAAACAACCAAUCAGUAAAUGUGUUACUCUGACUUCUGUGAGCUGCUCUAGCAAAUUAAUCAAAUCCGCAGAAGGGUCAUGGGAACCCCAACUUGAAGCCUGUCCGUCAGAAGUUCCAGAGUCCUGGACUUGUGACUGGUGU
RNAcentral lists this long non-coding RNA (1277 nucleotides) under Pan troglodytes (chimpanzee). RNAcentral describes it as "long non-coding RNA NONPTRT000890". The record is from RNAcentral. Lineage: Eukaryota; Metazoa; Chordata; Mammalia; Primates; Hominidae.